GAUGAACGCUGGCGGCGUGCCUAAUACAUGCAAGUCGAGCGAACGGACGAGAAGCUUGCUUCUCUGAUGUUAGCGGCGGAAGGGUGAGUAACACGUGGAUAACCUACCUAUAAGACUGGGAUAACUUCGGGAAACCGGAGCUAAUACCGGAUAAUAUUUUGAACCGCAUGGUUCAACAGUGAAAGACGGUCUUGCUGUCACUUAUAGAUGGAUCCGCGCUGCAUUAGCUAGUUGGUAAGGUAACGGCUUACCAAGGCAACGAUGCAUAGCCGACCUGAGAGGGUGAUCGGCCACACUGGAACUGAGACACGGUCCAGACUCCUACGGGAGGCAGCAGUAGGGAAUCUUCCGCAAUGGGCGAAAGCCUGACGGAGCAACGCCGCGUGAGUGAUGAAGGUCUUCGGAUCGUAAAACUCUGUUAUUAGGGAGGAACAUAUGUGUAAGUAACUGUGCACAUCUUGACGGUACCUAAUCAGAAAGCCACGGCUAACUACGUG
RNAcentral lists this ribosomal RNA (497 nucleotides) under uncultured bacterium. RNAcentral describes it as "partial 16S ribosomal RNA". It matches the Rfam family "Bacterial small subunit ribosomal RNA", at positions 28 to 507 of the family's 1533-position model. The record is from RNAcentral.